AUGCCUUGAUGAAGACACUUUCGUAAUAACUCCUUGAACUGCUCCUAUGCCUCAUAUAAAGAUUCUUCGUCAAAUUGUUGAAAUGAAGUGAUUUCAUUUCAAAGCUU
RNAcentral lists this small nucleolar RNA (107 nucleotides) under Gossypium barbadense (sea-island cotton). RNAcentral's name for it is "Plant small nucleolar RNA R71". It matches the Rfam family "Plant small nucleolar RNA R71". From Rfam's summary of the family: R71 is a member of the C/D box family of snoRNAs containing the C (UGAUGA) and D (CUGA) box motifs. Lineage: Eukaryota; Viridiplantae; Streptophyta; Magnoliopsida; Malvales; Malvaceae. RNAcentral also lists the same sequence under 1 other name. The record is from Rfam by way of RNAcentral.